RNAcentral lists this non-coding RNA (30 nucleotides) under Mus musculus (house mouse). Lineage: Eukaryota; Metazoa; Chordata; Mammalia; Rodentia; Muridae. The record is from RNAcentral.
UGAACGCACAGUCUUUCAGUUUGAUGUCCA